AUGGAUGUGUUGGAAAAACUAGUGCCACCAAGCAGUGUACAGAAAUUGACUAUAGUUGGUUACAGGAGUGUCAGCUUACCUGGUUGGUUUAUGGAUAUUACGCGGUAUCUCCCUAAUCUUUUGGAGAUAAAUCUAUAUGAUUUUCCUAGGUGCAAGAAGCUACCACCACUUGGUCUACUACGAAACUUAGAAUACCUGGGUCUCCACCGUAUGGACGGCUUGGAACAGUGGACCACGACACAUUACAGUGGCAAGGAAGGUUCAAAUGAGCUCAUGUUCCCUAAGCUUCAAAGGUUGACCAUAGAGCAGUAUGCCAAGCUGAGGAUAAAAUCGUGUCUGCCUAGAGCUAUGUAUUUGUACAUAAAAGAUUGUGAUACUAUGCUAUCAUCAUGUGGAGAGAGCUCUUCACACAGCGGUACUUCCUCAUCUUCUCCAUUAACUUGCCUGAAUGUUGCUGAAAGCAAGGUGCCCAUGCAUCAAUGGAGGUUGCUUCACCACCUCCCCGCCCUUCGUUGGUUAACUAUUACCGGUUGCAGUGAUCUGACCACCUCACCUCACAUCAUCCACAACCUCUCUUUCCUCACAGAACUGUGCCUCAAAUUCUUGUCCCAGGCAGAACUGCCGAGAUGGUUGGUUGAGCUGACAUCUCUGGAGCAACUAACUCUGCGUGGGUGUGCAAGCAUGACACUACCGGAGUGGUUAGGUGAACUUCCCUCUCUCAAGAGAUUUGAGCUCUGGAACUGCAAGGGUAUCAGGUCUUUGCCGGACAGCAUACAACAACUGACCAAGCUUGAACAUCUAUCCAUUCACGACUGCCCAACAUUAGAGAAGAGGUGUGAAUCAAAGGAGAACAAGAGGAAGCUCUCUCACAUCAAAGAGGUCGUCCCAUCAUCACUAAGGGCAGAUCCCAUUCAUGGUACUUUGAUGGGUAAGGUGCGUCGAGAUGUGGUGCGUAGUGAUGUGAUGAACACUAGGAGGCCCGCUCACAUCACAAAGAUCGUCCCAUCAUCAUUAAGGGCAGAUCCCAUUCGUUGUACUCUGAUUGGUAAGGUGCGUCAAGGUGUGCUGCGUAGUGCUGUGAUGAACACGCCUGGCUUCACGGAGGAAGAUUUGAGAGUUGCCGUAUCUCAUUUGGAAGAAACGUCCCAUUGCAUGGCUCUGUGUAUAUGGGCACACUGGUAG
RNAcentral lists this ribosomal RNA (1182 nucleotides) under Triticum aestivum (bread wheat). Its description in RNAcentral is "partial small subunit ribosomal RNA". Lineage: Eukaryota; Viridiplantae; Streptophyta; Magnoliopsida; Poales; Poaceae. The record is from RNAcentral.